UUGGCUUUGUCUUGACACCCAAGAUACCCGCGCCUUGACUCCGGCCCUGAGUCCGUGGGAUGCUCUAGAGACGCUGCGGGUAGAAAACGAGAGGGGGCAAUAUUUUAACUGGAAAAAAAAAAAAAAUUACAGAUGAGGAAGUGGACGUCCAGAGGAGGUUUGAAGAGAAGUGACACAUGGGGUGGACUUCAAUAAAAAUCCUAAGCAGGUUCUAUUUCUCUGCUUUAAAAGGUGGGCCUGCCAGUGGCCCCCAGCGGGACUGCUCAGCCUCCACUGCCCACCCAAGACACGACCCAGUCUGUAAGCUGUGAAGCACUGGAAUAUUUGGAAAUUGGACUGGAUCACAUCAGCCUCCACUCUGGCCUCAUACAGAUGCUCCUCUAUCACUUGAAAUGCCCUGUGAACUCCAUCUUUCCCUCUUAAAGCAUCAACUAGAACUGUACAUUCCAGUCUGUUUCCAAAAAGACCUGCUGUACAAUGCUUAUGCGAUAAGGUGCACCCAAGAAAAACUUCUGUGAAGAUAUCAAGUUUGGAAUUGUUUUGCAAAUGACAGGGAUUGCUUGGAGAUAAACUGUAGUCUGGGAUAGACCACUGGCUCUCAAACUCUAAUGAGCCUCCGGAAGCCUUCUUCACCAAAAGAAAAAUCUUUUUUAACAAUUCACCAGAAGAACUUGUUAAAGCACAGAUUUUCUGGUUUGAUAGUUCAGGAAUGGGCCCCCAAUUUGCACUUCUAACAAAUCCCUAGGUGAGGCUUCUCCUGGUCUAGGGAUUAUACUUGAGAAACCAACGGAGGGAUUAUACUUGAGAAACCAACGGCCGAAACCAGGACUUCUCAAAAUGUACUGUGCAUCCAAGCACGCAAGUAUCUUGUUUAAUUUACUUCGUCUU
Molecule: long non-coding RNA, 888 nt
Organism: Talpa occidentalis (Iberian mole)
Lineage: Eukaryota; Metazoa; Chordata; Mammalia; Eulipotyphla; Talpidae
Exons: 7
Source: RefSeq, a predicted model, not a curated record